ACUCAAAUGAAUAGACGGGGGCCCGCACAAGCGGUGGAGCAUGUGGUUUAAUUCGACGCAACGCGAAGAACCUUACCUGGGCUUGACAUGCACGGGAAAGCCGCUUGAAAGAGCGGCCCCUCUUCGGAGUCCGUGCACAGGUGCUGCAUGGCUGUCGUCAGCUCGUGUCGUGAGAUGUUGGGUUAAGUCCCGCAACGAGCGCAACCCCCGCCCCCAGUUGCCAGCGGAGGCCUUAAAACCUGCCGGGGACUCUGGGGGGACUGCCGGUGCCAAACCGGAGGAGGGUGGGGACGACGUCAAGUCAUCAUGGUCCUCACGUCCAGGGCCACACACGUGCUACAAUGGGCGGUACAGAGGGCCAGCGAGCCGGCGACGGCGAGCGAAUCCCAGAAAGCCGCCCUCAGUGCGGAUCGGAGGCUGCAACCCGCCUCCGUGAAGCCGGAAUCGCUAGUAAUCGGGGAUCAGCCACGCCCCGGUGAAUACGUUCCCGGGCCUUGUACACACCGCCCGU
RNAcentral lists this ribosomal RNA (511 nucleotides) under uncultured bacterium. Its description in RNAcentral is "partial 16S ribosomal RNA". It matches the Rfam family "Bacterial small subunit ribosomal RNA", at positions 899 to 1397 of the family's 1533-position model. The record is from RNAcentral.